CCUACGGGCGGCAGCAGUGAGGAAUAUUGGUCAAUGGACGAGAGUCUGAACCAGCCAAGUAGCGUGAAGGAUGACUGCCCUAUGGGUUGUAAACUUCCUUUAUAUGGGAAUAAAAUGUUCCACGUGUGGCAUUUUGUAGGUACCAUGUAGAUAAGGAUCGGCCAACUCCGUGCCAGCCGCCGCGGUAAUACGGAGGAUCCGAGCGUUAUCCGGAUUUAUUGGGUUUAAAGGGAGCGUAGGUGGAUUGGUAAGUCAGGUGUGAAAGUUUGAGGCUCAACCGUAAAAUUGCAGUUGAAACUGGCAGUCUUGAGUACAGUAGAGGUGGGCGGAAUUCGUGGUGUAGCGGUGAAAUGCUUAGAUAUCACGAAGAACUCCGAUUGCGAAGGCAGCUCUCUGGACUGCAACUGACACUGAGGCUCGAAAGUGUGGGUAUCAAACAGGAUUAGAUACCCUUGUAGUC
Molecule: ribosomal RNA, 460 nt
Filed under: uncultured bacterium
Lineage: Bacteria
Description: partial 16S ribosomal RNA
Rfam family: Bacterial small subunit ribosomal RNA
Source: RNAcentral